Molecule: ribosomal RNA, 441 nt
Filed under: uncultured bacterium
Lineage: Bacteria
Description: partial 16S ribosomal RNA
Rfam family: Bacterial small subunit ribosomal RNA
Source: RNAcentral
CCUACGGGGGGCAGCAGUGGGGAAUAUUGCACCAUGGGGGAAACCCUGAUGCAGCGACGCCGCGUGGGUGACGAAGUAUUUCGGUAUGUAAAGCCCUAUCAGCAGGGAAGAAGAUGACAGUACCUGACCAAGAAGCCCCGGCUAACUACGUGCCAGCAGCCGCGGUAAUACGUAGGGGGCAAGCGUUAUCCGGAUUUACUGGGUGUAAAGGGAGCGUAGGUGGCAUGGCAAGCCAGAAGUGAAAACCCGGGGCUUAACCCCGCGGAUUGCUUUUGGAACUGUCAGGCUGGAGUGCAGGAGGGGCAGGCGGAAUUCCUGGUGUAGCGGUGAAAUGCGUAGAUAUCAGGAGGAACACCGGUGGCGAAGGCGGCCUGCUGGACUGUAACUGACACUGAGGCUCGAAAGCGUGGGGAGCAAACAGGAUUAGAUACCCUUGUAGUC